RNAcentral lists this unclassified non-coding RNA (372 nucleotides) under uncultured bacterium. Its description in RNAcentral is "contains 16S-23S intergenic spacer region". The record is from RNAcentral.
UCCGAUUUGUCACCGGCAGUCUCCCAUGAGUCCCCGUCUUUCACGCCGGCAACAUUGGACAGGGGUUGCGCUCGUUGCGCCACUUAAGGCAACACCUCACGGCACGAGCUGGCGACAGCCAUGCAGCACCUGUGCAGGCUCCCGAAGGAGCACCGGCUUUCACCGGUUUCACCCUGCAUGUCAAGCCCUGGUAAGGUUCUUCGCGUUGCGUCGAAUUAAACCACAUGCUCCUCCGCUUGUGCGGGCCCCCGUCAAUUCCUUUGAGUUUCACCGUUGCCGGCGUACUCCCCAGGUGGAUUACUUAUCGCUUUCGCUUGGUCACUGGAAAUUGCUCCCCAGCAACGAGUAAUCAUCGUUUACAGUGCGGACUAC